Oncorhynchus tshawytscha (Chinook salmon) is the source of this 459-nucleotide long non-coding RNA. The record is from Ensembl. Lineage: Eukaryota; Metazoa; Chordata; Actinopteri; Salmoniformes; Salmonidae.
UCAGCUCUAGUAACAGGGAUGUUGUAGUGUUGGUGGAGGUUAGGACUAGUAACAGGGAUGUUGGGGUGUUGGUGGAGGUUAGGACUAGUAACAGGGAUGUUGUAGUGUUGGUGGAGGUCGGGACUAGUAGCAGGGAUGUUGUAGUGUUGGUCGGGACUAGUAACAGGGAUGUUGUAGUGUUGGUGGAGGUUAGGAGUAGUAACAGGGAUGUUGUAGUAGUGUUGGAGGUCAGGAGUAGUAACAGGGAUGUUGUAGUGUUGGUGGAGGUUAGGAGUAGUAACAGGGAUGUUGUAGUGUUGGUGGAGGUUAGGAGUAGUAACAGGGAUGUUGUAGUGUUGUUGGAGGUCAGGAGUAGUAACAGGGAUGUUGUAGUGUUGGUGGAGGUUAGGAGGAGUAACGGAUGUUGUAGUGUUGGUGGAGGUUAGGAGUAGUAACAGGGAUGUUGUAGUGUUGGUGGAG